GGAGAGACUAUACUGUGUCUGGCUAGAUCACGCUGGCGGCGUGCCUAACACAUGCAAGUCGAACGAGAAAGUGGAGCAAUCCAUGAGUAAAGUGGCGACCGGGUGAGUAACACGUGACUAACCUGCCUUCGAGUGGGGGAUAACCUCGGGAAACCGGGGCUAAUACCGCAUAAUGCCUUCGGGUUAAAGGAGCAAUUCGCUUGAAGAGGGGGUCGCGGCUGGUUAGCUAGUUGGCGGGGUAACGGCCCACCAAGGCGAUGAUCGGUAGCCGGCCUGAGAGGGCGCACGGCCACACUGGAACUGAAACACGGUCCAGACUCCUACGGGAGGCAGCAGUGGGGAAUUUUGGGCAAUGGGCGAAAGCCUGACCCAGCAACGCCGCGUGAGGGAGGAAAUCCUUCGGGAUGUAAACCUCACAAGCAAGGGAAGAGCGCGUACGGGCUAAUACCUCGUGCGUCCGACGGUACCUUGCGUAAGCCACGGCUAACUACGUGCCAGCAGCCGCGGUAAUACGUAGGUGGCAAGCGUUGUUCGGAAUUAUUGGGCGUAAAGGGCGCGUAGGCGGCUUGUUAAGUCAGCUGUGAAAGCCCGGGGCUCAACCCCGGAGGGUCAGCUGAUACUGGCUAGCUAGAGUACAGAAGAGGUAGCUGGAAUUCCCGGUGUAGCGGUGAAAUGCGUAGAUAUCGGGAGGAACACCAGAGGCGAAGGCGGGCUACUGGGCUGAUACUGACGCUGAUGCGCGAAAGCCAGGGGAGCAAACGGGAUUAGAUACCCCGGUAGUCCUGGCCCUAAACGAUGACACUUGUGUGUCGGGUCUCAGUCCCGCGUGCGAGCUACGCGUAAGUGUCCCGCUGGGGAGUACGGUCGCAGGCUGAACUCAAGGAAUGA
RNAcentral lists this ribosomal RNA (888 nucleotides) under uncultured soil bacterium. Its description in RNAcentral is "SSU rRNA". It matches the Rfam family "Bacterial small subunit ribosomal RNA", at positions 1 to 912 of the family's 1533-position model. The record is from RNAcentral.